GUAGGUGAACCUGCGGAAGGAUCAUUACAAAAAAGUAGAGUUGCUCUUUUGCUUCUCUAGCUCGAAGAGGAAAAUUUUGGAGGGUCGCAAGACCAUCCGAAAAAUCCGACUUGAGAAAUCUUUUGUGCACCGUAAAAAAAAAAUUUGCGUUUUAUAUUUGUCUGAUGUACUUUUUACAGUUUUCGUGAAAUUUCUUUUUGGAAAUUUUGCAAGAAAGAAAACAAUAAAAAUAACUUUUAACAACGGAUCU
RNAcentral lists this unclassified non-coding RNA (250 nucleotides) under plant metagenome. Its description in RNAcentral is "partial contains small subunit ribosomal RNA, internal transcribed spacer 1, and 5.8S ribosomal RNA". The record is from RNAcentral.